UGUGAACCAGCGGAGGGAUCAUU
Molecule: ribosomal RNA, 23 nt
Filed under: Phaeoacremonium rubrigenum
Lineage: Eukaryota; Fungi; Ascomycota; Sordariomycetes; Togniniales; Togniniaceae
Description: partial 18S ribosomal RNA
Source: RNAcentral